This 369-nucleotide long non-coding RNA is filed under the name Homo sapiens (human). RNAcentral's name for it is "HSALNT0194203". The record is from RNAcentral. Lineage: Eukaryota; Metazoa; Chordata; Mammalia; Primates; Hominidae.
GACUAGCCUCCCUUUACAGUCUCACCUGCUCAGCUCUGUGACUCCAAACUGCAGUGUUUUCUCUCUUCAGUGUUGAUGGCAUGGCUAGUGCUCAGUCAUCUGGUCACCACAACUCUACUGAGCCCCUCCCCUGGGUGCUGGACUGGCUCUAACACUGUGCGAACAGACAGAGGAAGGCUCAUGCUUGUGGAGCCAACGUUCUAAGUUGGGGAAGAGUCAAUGUAUGAAUUUUAAAAACAGUAAAACAAGAUCAUUUCAGAGAACGGAAGACAACAGCAAGCACGGGCCACCUGUGACCACGUGGACCCUAGGACCCAAGAGCAUGGCCCUGGAGCUGCCUGGCCCUACUGGCCUAGACUGGGCCUCGGC